CGAACGGGUGAGUAACACGUAAGUGACCUACCCCAAAGAGGAGAACAACCAUGCGAAAGCGUGGCUAAUACUCCAUAUGGUCGGCCAUUCAUUUGGUCGAUUAAAGCUCCGGCGCUUUGGGAGGGGCUUGCGGCCCAUCAGCUAGUUGGUAGGGUAAUGGCCUACCAAGGCGAUGACGGGUAGCUGGUCUGAGAGGACGAUCAGCCACAAUGGCACUGAAACACGGGCCAU
RNAcentral lists this ribosomal RNA (231 nucleotides) under uncultured bacterium. Its description in RNAcentral is "partial 16S ribosomal RNA". It matches the Rfam family "Bacterial small subunit ribosomal RNA", at positions 99 to 334 of the family's 1533-position model. The record is from RNAcentral.